AUGAGAGUUGGAAAUACCCGAAGCCUGUGAGCUGACCUUUUGGGGGGCAGCAGUCGAAGGUAGAGCCAAUGAUUGGGGUGAAGUCGUAACAAGGUACC
Molecule: ribosomal RNA, 98 nt
Filed under: uncultured bacterium
Lineage: Bacteria
Description: partial 16S ribosomal RNA
Rfam family: Bacterial small subunit ribosomal RNA
Source: RNAcentral